CCUACGGGUGGCUGCAGUGGGGAAUAUUGCACAAUGGGGGAAACCCUGAUGCAGCGACGCCGCGUGAGUGAAGAAGUAUUUCGGUAUGUAAAGCUCUAUCAGCAGGGAAGAAGCAAGACGGUACCUGACUAAGAAGCCCCGGCUAACUACGUGCCAGCAGCCGCGGUAAUACGUAGGGGGCAAGCGUUAUCCGGAUUUACUGGGUGUAAAGGGAGCGUAGACGGUAUGGCAAGUCUGAAGUGAAAGCCCAAGGCUUAACCCUGGGACUGCUUUGGAAACUGUUAGACUAGAGUGCUGGAGAGGUAAGUGGAAUUCCUAGUGUAGCGGUGAAAUGCGUAGAUAUUAGGAGGAACACCAGUGGCGAAGGCGGCUUACUGGACAGUAACUGACGUUGAGGCUCGAAAGCGUGGGGAGCAAACAGGAUUAGAUACCCUGGUAGUC
RNAcentral lists this ribosomal RNA (441 nucleotides) under uncultured bacterium. Its description in RNAcentral is "partial 16S ribosomal RNA". It matches the Rfam family "Bacterial small subunit ribosomal RNA", at positions 338 to 795 of the family's 1533-position model. The record is from RNAcentral.